RNA transcript from Melanotaenia boesemani (Boeseman's rainbowfish), 1468 nucleotides. It is a transcript of the gene named ring finger protein 170, with no coding region annotated. The record is from RefSeq and is a predicted model, not a curated record. NCBI's taxonomy places the organism in Eukaryota, Metazoa, Chordata, Actinopteri, Atheriniformes, Melanotaeniidae. The transcript is spliced from 8 exons.
GAAGAAGAAGAAGAAGAAGAAGAAGAAAACUGAAACUGCAUCAGCAUGUUCAAAAAUCAGCAACAGCGUUACCACUAAAAACUCCUGACGUGGUCAAAUACCUCUAAAGUCAGCUGUUGUUGGAAAUAAAAUGUUUAGAUAGAGUGAAUGGAGAUUUCAGGUCAGGCUAGUAGACAAAUGAUCCCUGGUGAAGUUCGACUUCUUCUUGAAUUGUAGGGUAUGAGUGUGGGUGAUGGAUGAUACUCAAUGUGGGGACUUUUUGAUCCAAGAUGAGGACACGAUUAUUGAGGGUGUCAGCAACCAGGUCUUGUUUGUCGUGGUCCUUAGUUUCACCUUCUUAGCAGGCCUCCUCACUCUGCUCUGCAGACAGGAGGAGCAGAACAUCCAUCCUGAGAAUCAGGAACAUGUUCGAGCCGUCCGACAACAGCUCCAGACUGAGCAGGAUGAAAAUCCUCAGGCUGAAGCCAGGCAGCAGUACUACACAGACAUGUCUUGCCCCGUGUGUUUACAGCAGGCUGUGCUGCCUGUAGAAACCAAUUGUGGACACCUUUUUUGUGGUUCCUGCAUCAUAGCUUACUGGAGAUAUGGCACCUGGCUGGGUGCUAUCAACUGUCCAAUCUGCAGACAGAUGGUAACACUGGUUUUUCCACUAUUUCAUGAGCACACUUCUCCUCAGACGGUACAAGAUGGUGAGGCACAACCUCAGCUUAUAUUAAGAGAUAUCAAUGAUUACAACCGGAGGUUUUCAGGCCAGCCAAGAUCUUUAUUGGACAGGCUGCGCGACGUACCUACUCUGCUUCGUCACGCCUUCAGGGAAAUGUUUUCAGUGGGCGGCCUCUUCUGGAUGUUCAGGAUUCGAAUUCUUCUCUGCCUGGUUGGCGCGAUCACCUACCUGGCCUCGCCACUUGACAUCCUCCCAGAGGCGCUAUUUGGCCUCCUGGGUUUUAUGGAUGAUUUCUUUGUAAUCCUUCUUUUGUUUGUGUACAUCUCCAUCAUGUACAGAGAGGUGGUCACGCAGAGACUGAACGGCUAACUGGUUGCUCGUAAAAGUUAAAUGAGGCUUAGUGAAGAGUUAACACACAUCUGAGGUGGACAUGUAAAAGUUCAGAGUUGUUCAUUAGUAUUUUUUACUCAGAUGGGUUUACACGAACUGUGAGCUAAAAUUUUAAUGCAGAAGAAGGCCAGAAUUGUUUUGUGAUAACUAAAUUACUGUGACAGCAGUUGUUUAAUGUGAAUAUCAUCAUAAAAAGAGUUCUGUAAUAUAACAACAGCUUGAACUCAACAAGUUUCUUUAUUAAAUGGAUUUAAAGAUGACUGUCUGCAUCUGGAUUACAAGGCAAAUAUGAGCUGCAGGACUCACUGUUCCUGUUACUAGUCAACCUAAUUGCUCCUCUUUCAUUGUGUAACUAUGCAUAUUCAUUAUUACUUGAAAAACGUGUUAAAUCUGUGUUAAAAAUCACAGACUUGU